GCCGGACUAGCUCAGCUGGUAGAGCAACUGAUUUGUAAUCAGUAGGUCGUUGGUUCGAUUCCGACGUCCGGCACCA
This 76-nucleotide transfer RNA is filed under the name Alphaproteobacteria bacterium. RNAcentral's name for it is "tRNA-Thr". It matches the Rfam family "tRNA". From Rfam's summary of the family: Transfer RNA (tRNA) molecules are approximately 80 nucleotides in length. Their secondary structure includes four short double-helical elements and three loops (D, anti-codon, and T loops). Further hydrogen bonds mediate the characteristic L-shaped molecular structure. tRNAs have two regions of fundamental functional importance: the anti-codon, which is responsible for specific mRNA codon recognition, and the 3' end, to which the tRNAs corresponding amino acid is attached (by aminoacyl-tRNA synthetases). tRNAs cope with the degeneracy of the genetic code in two manners: having more than one tRNA (with a specific anti-codon) for a particular amino acid; and 'wobble' base-pairing, i.e. permitting non-standard base-pairing at the 3rd anti-codon position. RNAcentral also lists the same sequence under 1 other name. The record is from RNAcentral. Lineage: Bacteria; Pseudomonadati; Pseudomonadota; Alphaproteobacteria.